RNAcentral lists this unclassified non-coding RNA (142 nucleotides) under soil metagenome. RNAcentral describes it as "partial internal transcribed spacer 1". The record is from RNAcentral.
UAAUAAAAGUGUUUUAUGGCACUUUUCAAACAAAUCCAUAUCCACCUUGUGUGCAAUGUUUUUUUUUAAAUAAACACUUUAUUUUUUAAUUGCCAAUUUAUCUGAAGAUCAGUAUUAUUAUGAAUUAACUUAAUUCAAAAUA